Molecule: transfer RNA, 76 nt
Filed under: Campylobacteraceae bacterium
Lineage: Bacteria; Pseudomonadati; Campylobacterota; Epsilonproteobacteria; Campylobacterales; Campylobacteraceae
Description: tRNA-Trp
Rfam family: tRNA
About the family: Transfer RNA (tRNA) molecules are approximately 80 nucleotides in length. Their secondary structure includes four short double-helical elements and three loops (D, anti-codon, and T loops).
Source: RNAcentral
AGGGUAGUAGCUCUAAUGGUAGAGCGUCGGUCUCCAAAACCGCAGGUUGGGGGUUCGAAUCCCUCCUACCCUGCCA